This 40-nucleotide ribosomal RNA is filed under the name Antheraea pernyi (Chinese oak silkmoth). Its description in RNAcentral is "partial 28S ribosomal RNA". Lineage: Eukaryota; Metazoa; Arthropoda; Insecta; Lepidoptera; Saturniidae. RNAcentral also lists the same sequence under 1 other name. The record is from RNAcentral.
CGUUGGCCUCAGAUCAGGGAGGAUCACCCGCCGAAUUUAA